CCUACGGGAGGCAGCAGUGAGGAAUAUUGGUCAAUGGUCGGGAGACUGAACCAGCCAAGCCGCGUGAGGGAUGAAGGUACAGAGUAUCGUAAACCUCUUUUGUCAGGGAACAAAGGCGGGGACGUGUCCCCGGAUGCGUGUACCUGAAGAAAAAGCAUCGGCUAACUCCGUGCCAGCAGCCGCGGUAAUCCGGAGGAUGCGAGCGUUAUCCGGAUUUCUUUGGUUUAAAGGGUGCGCGGGCGGUCUGUUAAGUCAGCGGUCCACGCCCGGGGCUCAACCCCGGCCCGCCGUUGAAACUGGCAGUCUCGAGUUGGAGAGAAGUAUGCGGAAUGCGCGGUGUAGCGGUGAAAUGCAUAGAUAUCGCGCAGAACUCCGAUUGCGAAGGCAGCAUGCCGGCUCCACACUGACGUGGUUUCAUGAAAGCGUGGGUAUCGAACAGGAUUAGAUACCCUUGUAGUC
This 459-nucleotide ribosomal RNA is filed under the name uncultured bacterium. RNAcentral's name for it is "partial 16S ribosomal RNA". It matches the Rfam family "Bacterial small subunit ribosomal RNA", at positions 338 to 795 of the family's 1533-position model. The record is from RNAcentral.